UUUUCUGGCUGAGUGCUUCACAGACACAUCUGAGUUUGUUUGAUGUUUCAGCUGUAAAGUGCUCUUCCAUCCCCUGCCCCAUGCUUUUCCAUACAACCCCCUUUUUUGGAAAGAGGUCACUAUGUACAGCCCACACUGAAGGGGAGGGGAGUUAUCCAUGUCUACAGAAGGACUUUAAACAUGGAAGGUGACUUGAUAAGAAUUGUGCUUCAGGGCCAGGGGCAGUGGCUCAUGCCUGUAAUUCCAGCACUUUGGGAGGGGAGGCUGGAGGAUCAGCUAAGCCCAGGAGUUUGAGGCUGCGGUGAGCUGUGAUCACAUCACUGCACUCCAUCCUGGACAAACAGAGCAAGACUCUGUUUCUUAAAAAAAUAAAGAAUGAAUUGUGCUUCAGAAAGAUUGCUCUAGCUAAUAGAGAGACUGAAUUUGGAGAGACCGAAUUUAGCGUGGAACCCUUAAGUCAGGACAAGAUGACAAACCACAAAUUUGGAAACUGAAGGUUAGUGGCAACAGGGAUAGGUUUGAGAAAAGUUGAAGAGAUUAGUGGAUGGGGCUCAGUGGAUUUUGCAGAGUGUGUAUGCUCGAGUGCUAGUGGGAGAUGAGGGGACUCCAAGAUGACUUGCAGCCUUAUUGCUGGGAGUUGGUGACUGUACAAGUUAUAGUGUUAAUUUUUUUUAGAUAAACAGGAAGAAACAGCUUGUUGAUAGUGGUAAGGGUAGAUGAGAGGGCAAUAAACUGUGGCAGAGAUGCUUUUUGAGUCGUUCGUGACUUAAUGUGUGUUCUGUCUUGAGAUACAGAUUUAGAAGUCAUUAACAUAAUAAAUGGUUUGAGAAAUUUGCAGUGUUAGGUGUUCUGACAUAGGGAAAGUAAUUAAUACUAGAUGAAAAAGAGGAACCCAGGGAACACUGAUGUUUAAAAAUGGGUAAAACGUGGGGAAAGGUCAACUUUUGUUAAAAUCUGUUAUCACUAUUCAUGUGGACAUUUAAUUCCUCUGCAUCACAUCCUCUGUUCUGUUCACCCUGGAAGUGUAAAACACUAUACCAAAGGACACAACACACUAUACGUGUUAAGAACAUUUCUUCUGAGGAUAGUUUCUGUUGUGGUGAUGCUAAUCAGAAUAAAUCUUGCUAAAAUUAAGAAGCUGAAGAUGUAUGGAAAGCAAUUGACCCAACAGCACUACUUCAUGUAAGAUAAGCAGUGGCAGUACAAAAAUGAAGAAUAGAUUGUUUGUUACCAAGGAAUUAACAAUUUAGUGUAUUUACUGGGUAAUACAGUACAAAGUAAGCAAUAGUAGUUGGUUGUAUGUCAGUUGUGGCAUGACUGAGCUAACUGCUGAAGCCCUUUCUAUCUCUCUUCUCUCCGUGUCUAGCUUUGUUCUUGCCUGCCUUUUUAUUUUUUAAAGUCCUGCUCCUAUUUUGGAGGUGGGGGACUAGCGGGGUAUACUAUACCCCUUGUUAACCAACUGCAAUGUAAGUUAAAAUAUAUUUUUAAGUGUUUUUGAUUUUUAAAAACAAGCAAAUAGAGCACAUUAUCAUAGAGGAAAAAAAUCUUCAAAGAAAAAAUUUGUUUAGUUUUCAGAUUCUUUGUGAAAUCACUAAUCUUUGAGGGGAAAAAUGUUUUUCCAUAAAUUUAGGAGAACAGGAGGUUUGAGUUUUUAAGGACUUUACAGCAUGCCUAUAUUUAUUGUAGAUUUUAAUUCUAGAGAGCUGGUGAUUGGAAAUUAUGGACCUAUUUGUUCCAAUUUAAACUUUGAGCAUGUAAAAAGCAAGAGAUUAGAGAAGUCAGACAGUAGGUAUAUACUUUGUAGACAGAUACAGGUAUUUAAAUUACCAAAGUUGCUUCUGACCUCCUCAUUUUAUAGAGAAUGAACUGUUGCCAGUUGAGAGUCCUUAAGCCAUUUAACUUUAGUGUAAAAUACAAAAUACUUAAUGGAUAUCAUGGGGAGGAAAUUUUUUUUUUCUCUUUUGAGACCAACAUGGUGAA
Long non-coding RNA from Sapajus apella (tufted capuchin), 1980 nucleotides. RefSeq lists it as uncharacterized. NCBI's taxonomy places the organism in Eukaryota, Metazoa, Chordata, Mammalia, Primates, Cebidae. The transcript has 3 exons. The record is from RefSeq and is a predicted model, not a curated record.